This 858-nucleotide long non-coding RNA is filed under the name Ananas comosus (pineapple). RNAcentral's name for it is "long non-coding RNA (ACOM_LNC004944)". Lineage: Eukaryota; Viridiplantae; Streptophyta; Magnoliopsida; Poales; Bromeliaceae. The record is from RNAcentral.
GGAUUUAGGGUGGAUUAAUUUUUAUCCUAUUUAUUGUCUCUAUUUACCACUUCAUUCAUGAUGGGUCGAGGGGGGUCAGGGCGAAUCAGAGCGGGAGUAAAUUUUUUGGCAGAUGUUGGGCAGAUCAGAGCGGAGCGGGGUAGGCCGGGGCAAGAGAAGAUUUUUGGCAAAAGAGCAGAGCAGAUCAAAAGAAGAAAUGAUCAUUUGCCACCUGCAUCAUUUCUUGGUGAACCGGAGCAGAUUUAGAGCGGAUUUUUUUUCUUUUUUACUUUUGACUUCGACUUACUGCUCUGGGGUGGAUUAGGCAGGACCUCCGCCACCCCAAAUCCAUUUGCAUCCCUAUUUGUAACUAUAUAUAUUUUUUUGUCUAAUAAUAGUAUUACAUAACUUUCAAUACCAAACAGGACCUUAGAUUGAAUUGUAAAUAAGAAUUUAUUAAAGAUAAAACUGUACGGAAGUUACCUAAACUAUAUACCAUUUUGAAUCAGCUAACUAACCUUUCAAAUUUUGGAUUUUACUAUCCAGACUUUCAAUUUGUUUGAUUUCUCAAAUAGUUUUAGAUGUAACAUUUGCCUCAAAGAGUGCAACUUUAUUUUAUGUGGUACAACUUAUUCUCAAAUAGGUUUAAAUGGUGCAACUUUCAUCUUAAAUAGUGUAAUUUUUAUUCUAAAUAGUAUAAAUUUUGUCUUAAAGAGUGCAACUUUAGUCUCAAAUAAUGCAACUUGUCUUUUUCUUCUUUCUUUUCUUCUUCUUGGCCUUUUCUGUAUCGCUCACAAUACAGUCUUCUCAAGAGAUUUUUUUUUACUUUUUAUUCUUUUUUCUUCCACUCUCUGUAUUUUUUUUGCUAUCGCACCCGCU